This 75-nucleotide transfer RNA is filed under the name Betaproteobacteria bacterium. Its description in RNAcentral is "tRNA-His". It matches the Rfam family "tRNA". From Rfam's summary of the family: Transfer RNA (tRNA) molecules are approximately 80 nucleotides in length. The record is from RNAcentral. Lineage: Bacteria; Pseudomonadati; Pseudomonadota; Betaproteobacteria. RNAcentral also lists the same sequence under 1 other name.
GUGGACGUAGCUCAACGGUAGAGUCCCGGAUUGUGAUUCCGGUUGUUGGGGGUUCGAAUCCCCUCGUCCACCCCA